AGCAGCCGCGGUAAUUCCAGCUCCAAUAGCGUAUAUUAAAGUUGCUGCAGUUAAAAAGCUCGUAGUUGAAUUUCGGGGUCAGUAGGUCGGUCGUGCCACUGGUAUGAACUGGUUUUACUGAUUCCUCCCUCUUGAAGAACUGUAAUGCCAUUAAUUUGGUGUUGCAGGGAAUCAGGACUGUUACUUUGAAAAAAUUAGAGUGUUUAAAGCAGGCUUUAGCUUGAAUACAUUAGCAUGGAAUAAUGAAAUAGGACGUUUGAUCCUAUUUUGUUGGUUUCUAGGAUUGACGUAAUGAUUAAUAGGGAUAGUUGGGGGCAUUAGUAUUCAAUUGUCAGAGGUGAAAUUCUUGGAUUUAUUGAAGACUAACUACUGCGAAAGCAUUUGCCAAGGAUGUUUUCAUUAAUCAAGAACGAAAGUUAGGGGAUCGAAGACGAUCAGAUACCGUCGUAGUCUUAACCAUAAACUAUGCCGACUAGGGAUCGGAUGAUGUUAAUUUUUUAAUGACUCAUUCGGCGCCUUACG
Molecule: ribosomal RNA, 522 nt
Filed under: uncultured Glomus
Lineage: Eukaryota; Fungi; Glomeromycota; Glomeromycetes; Glomerales; Glomeraceae
Description: SSU rRNA
Rfam family: Eukaryotic small subunit ribosomal RNA
Source: RNAcentral